GUGGUUGUGGCUCAGCGGUAGACCACUCGCCUAGCAUGUGUGAGGCCCUCGGUUUGAUCCUCAGCACCACA
Molecule: transfer RNA, 71 nt
Filed under: Marmota monax (woodchuck)
Lineage: Eukaryota; Metazoa; Chordata; Mammalia; Rodentia; Sciuridae
Description: tRNA.Ala
Source: RNAcentral